GUCACGUUAUAACAAAAACAUUUUCCUAUACAUUGAUUAUGUAAAUAUUUUCUUAAUUUUUAUUAUAGAUUUGAAUAUGAUUUAAUACAAGUUUUCACAUUAAGGUUUGAUCUCUUUGACGACAUAAAAAUUUCCACGUUCACCUUAGACAUGUCUAUAGUCAUAUUAGCUGUAUUGCAAAUUAGUUUGUAAUUUACGAAGACUAGAUAUUUUAUCUUUAAGUGCCAAGCGGAAAAUUGUCCGUUAAAGAGUGUACAAGGAUAUUAAAUGAUGACUACAAGAUAAUGUGUCCAGGAAAAAAAACAAAUCAUGAAUUACACAUUGUCUUAACAUCCUGACUGUCUGCUUUAUCCGGUAAAUUUUCAUUCUCUGUCCUUUCAUAUACUGAAUUUAAUGGAAAUUUGCCAUGAUGUGGAUUUAAUUCACUUCCUAGUGUGGCGUCAUUAUCUGGUAUGGAGGCUGCAUUGUCCCCACACUCCUCGUCUGAACUUGAACAUAACCGACUGUCUGACACAAUACUUUCCUCGUCAUCUACGGAGAUUGUCAUAUCCUCUCCCAUCUCCUCAUUUGAGGGGUUUGUAUCAUUAACUACUGUUUCACAUUUUUGUGUUUUUGUCUCUGUUUUGGUUGUCUUUUGUUUUGCAGCUUCCUCCUCACGCUUUUGUUUUCGCCACUUUGCUCUUCUGUUUUUAAACCAUACCUGCAAAGAUCAAACAAAACUGUACAUGGCAAUUACUGCAUGUGAAACAUUAUCUUCAUAAUUCUUAAAACGUGUCGUAUCUAAUUCAAACACAAUUUCCGCAAAUUGAUUGCUUUCUGCAUAAUUUAUCGAGCCUCGUCAGUUAUAUAUUAUAUUUUUAUUAACACCUUUUAUCUAAUAGCAUUAUCGAAAUACCAUGAAAUGUUUUUAUGGCUUUUUCAUAUUUUUAUGUAAAACAAAGCUGCUUUCCUGUAUUCGUC
RNAcentral lists this long non-coding RNA (960 nucleotides) under Mytilus galloprovincialis (Mediterranean mussel). The record is from RNAcentral. Lineage: Eukaryota; Metazoa; Mollusca; Bivalvia; Mytilida; Mytilidae.